ACGAGAUCUUCGGGUCUAGUGGCGCACGGGUGCGUAACGCGUGGGAAUCUGCCCUUUGGUUCGGAAUAACAGUUGGAAACGACUGCUAAUACCGGAUGAUGACGUUAAGUCCAAAGAUUUAUCGCCAGAGGAUGAGCCCCGCGUAGGAUUAGCUAGUUGGUGUGGUAAAGGCGCACCAAGGCGACGAUCCUUAGCUGGUCUGAGAGGAUGAUCAGCCACACUGGGACUGAGACACGGCCCAG
RNAcentral lists this ribosomal RNA (242 nucleotides) under uncultured bacterium. RNAcentral's name for it is "partial 16S ribosomal RNA". It matches the Rfam family "Bacterial small subunit ribosomal RNA", at positions 66 to 334 of the family's 1533-position model. The record is from RNAcentral.